Molecule: long non-coding RNA, 524 nt
Organism: Rattus norvegicus (Norway rat)
Lineage: Eukaryota; Metazoa; Chordata; Mammalia; Rodentia; Muridae
Source: RefSeq, a predicted model, not a curated record
UUCUGAGUUCUCUCCCAGCCAUGCCUAAGGAUUCCUUGGUUGCCUGGAGAGGAGGGCAAGGACUUGAAUCCCCCUCUCACCUUAUGAACCACUGGACUUUUGUUUUCCAUCGCAGCAGGAGAUCUCGAGCUUUAAAGUUCAGACAAUGGAAACAAAUAUAUCUCUGCGAACUGUGUACCAAGGAGCUUUGAAGCCCUCCGGAGUCUCUCGAUGAGACAACAUCUACUCAGAGAAGUAUCAGCCACCUGAGACCACAAUUUGGCCUGCAGACAUCGUGACUUUAAGCAUGAUGGGAAGAGUUGACUCAGACAAGCUGGGGUGAGACGCAAGCUGGCUGUAUUAGUAGAACUCCUCAGAGGCUUCUUUCCCUUAUCCCUUAACUGCGGGUUUUCUAGAUAAAACAGUCCACAAAAGUGCUCAUAUUUUAGCCACCUUCUACCUGUUGUGUUUGCAACUGUAAUGUCUAUAUUUACAUACUGCCUCAGCUAAGGUUAUAUUAUAUAGUUUGUUUUAUUCAUUGAAAA